CAUGCAGUCGAGCGGAACGAGUUAUCAGAACCUUCGGGGGACGAUAACGGCGUCGAGCGGCGGACGGGUGAGUAAUGCCUAGGAAAUUGCCCUGAUGUGGGGGAUAACCAUUGGAAACGAUGGCUAAUACCGCAUGAUGCCUACGGGCCAAAGAGGGGGACCUUCGGGCCUCUCGCGUCAGGAUAUGCCUAGGUGGGAUUAGCUAGUUGGUGAGGUAAGGGCUCACCAAGGCGACGAUCCCUAGCUGGUCUGAGAGGAUGAUCAGCCACACUGGAACUGAGACACGGUCCAGACUCCUACGGGAGGCAGCAGUGGGGAAUAUUGCACAAUGGGCGCAAGCCUGAUGCAGCCAUGCCGCGUGUGUGAAGAAGGCCUUCGGGUUGUAAAGCACUUUCAGUCGUGAGGAAGGUAGUGUAGUUAAUAGCUGCAUUAUUUGACGUUAGCGACAGAAGAAGCACCGGCUAACUCCGUGCCAGCAGCCGCGGUAAUACGGAGGGUGCGAGCGUUAAUCGGAAUUACUGGGCGUAAAGCGCAUGCAGGUGGUUUGUUAAGUCAGAUGUGAAAGCCCGGGGCUCAACCUCGGAAUUGCAUUUGAAACUGGCAGACUAGAGUACUGUAGAGGGGGGUAGAAUUUCAGGUGUAGCGGUGAAAUGCGUAGAGAUCUGAAGGAAUACCGGUGGCGAAGGCGGCCCCCUGGACAGAUACUGACACUCAGAUGCGAAAGCGUGGGGAGCAAACAGGAUUAGAUACCCUGGUAGUCCACGCCGUAAACGAUGUCUACUUGGAGGUUGUGGCCUUGAGCCGUGGCUUUCGGAGCUAACGCGUUAAGUAGACCGCCUGGGGAGUACGGUCGCAAGAUNAAACUCAAAUGAAUUGACGGGGGCCGCACAAGCGGNGGAGCAUGUGGUUAAUUCGAUGCA
RNAcentral lists this ribosomal RNA (920 nucleotides) under Vibrio parahaemolyticus. RNAcentral's name for it is "bacterial SSU rRNA". It matches the Rfam family "Bacterial small subunit ribosomal RNA", at positions 54 to 958 of the family's 1533-position model. Lineage: Bacteria; Pseudomonadati; Pseudomonadota; Gammaproteobacteria; Vibrionales; Vibrionaceae. The record is from RNAcentral.